This 1044-nucleotide long non-coding RNA is filed under the name Homo sapiens (human). RNAcentral's name for it is "HSALNT0398423". The stretch from base 971 to 1005 matches the Rfam family "Iron response element I". Lineage: Eukaryota; Metazoa; Chordata; Mammalia; Primates; Hominidae. The record is from RNAcentral.
AUCUGCAGAUCCCCUCGGUCAGGGGCUGCCCCGCCUGGGCUGUUCGGAGCAGCUCCUCUGUAGGGCAGGGCCUGACCUCACCCCACACCCCAGUGGCUUCAGCUCCCUGCCCAGCGCACGGGCUGCCUCCAUCAGGGCACUUAAGUAGAGUCAAGGUUUGCGCCGACUCCGUCUCCCAGAAAUCAACGUGGACCAGGCCCACUUAAAAAAUAUGCAUUAGUCGAAGACAGACGUCUCGUCCAUAGGUCCCCAGACUGUUUGUCCACAACGCAGGGCUUCUCUUUGUGGGCCUGAAGGAGCACACGUCAGGCAAGACACGAGGGCAACUUCAGAGACACUGUUCAGGGCCACGGAGAAUUCUCGAAGUCUGACUCCAGUCCCCGCAACACUCCAUCUUCCAGAGAUCUCCAGGGGUCCAGAAAUAACACCUCACAGCCUUCCAAGCUUCCCAAGGAUCCGGAGACUCCUUAUCUCGCAGCGCAAACCUCAGGCAACUACAGGUCCUCCCUGCACCUUUGAGGUGCCCCUCCCCCCACUCAAGGUUCCAGAAAAAUCCAUGCCCUCGGAAACCCCAGAAUCUUACUUUCCCGAGGCACCCCAGGACCCCAGGGUCAUCAGUUCACAGGGCUGUUAGUGCUCCCAUAAAACUCUAGCCUCCCAGAGGGACCCCAGCCCCCACCCUCCCGCCCACGAACCCCUGCAUUUCCAGAAUCAGCCCCAGGGCCCCAACCCCCCCAAGCCCCCAUUUCACAACACGCUGGCGCUACAGGCGCGUGACUUCCCCUUGCUUUGGGGCGGGGGGCUGAGACUCCUAUGUGCUCCGGAUUGGUCAGGCACGGCCUUCGGCCCCGCCUCCUGCCACCGCAGAUUGGCCGCUAGCCCUCCCCGAGCGCCCUGCCUCCGAGGGCCGGCGCACCAUAAAAGAAGCCGCCCUAGCCACGUCCCCUCGCAGUUCGGCGGUCCCGCGGGUCUGUCUCUUGCUUCAACAGUGUUUGGACGGAACAGAUCCGGGGACUCUCUUCCAGCCUCCGACCGCCCUCCGAU